Astatotilapia calliptera (eastern happy) is the source of this 1415-nucleotide long non-coding RNA. Lineage: Eukaryota; Metazoa; Chordata; Actinopteri; Cichliformes; Cichlidae. The record is from Ensembl.
CCCACAGCGGCUUUUGAAUCCCCUCCUUCUCUUCCCACCUCUUCAAAUUCAUUGGCUGCCAGAGGAGUAGCGACAAUGUUUAAUGCACCAUGCGGUGUCCGGAGUUCAGUCAGUGAGAGGAAGCGCUCCGUGGGCUUAGGGCUGUGCUGCGUGUGCGAAAUAGUAAAUAACGACUGUGCGUGCGUGCUGAAGGAAAUCACACAUUUCCUGACAGAUAUAGGGGAGACUUGUGCCGGAAUGCGGCGUUGUUGUUGACCACCUCAGCAGCUGUCUCUCUGUGUAUCUGUGUGUAUAUAUAUAAAUAUAUGUGUGUGUGUGUGCAUGUGUGUGUGCGUGGACUUUGACGGGGACGACGGGCAAGGACAAAAAUGCCACUACGGGAAUCAGUAACUCUGUGCUGUCUCGAACGGCGGAAAAAACACUGACUGCCUUUCAAAUAUUCACUUUGGAUCUACCUUACCACACAUCUGGAUUUUUCCCCUCCUUUCUUCGUAGAGUAUUUCUCAGUUUUCCUUCCUGAAGAACGGUGACUCACUGCAGGCAGAAGGCGAGCCGCUGCAUCCUAAUCAGACAGCGGAGAGGACUUCAGCUCAUUGACAUUACAGUCAUACUUUUCUGGAGCACUUUUUUUUUUAUUUCCACUGCGCUGCACUGUAGCCUGCGUGUGCAUUGGAGGCUUGUGGCUUUCCCCCCUCUCUCCCUCUUCACAAAGAGGAGAAGGAGGAUACGGGUGGCACCUACCGAAGUGGGCUAAGGAGACGAAACUCUCCCUAAACCCUGCUGGAACUGACUGUUUUUAAUUUUUGUCUUUCUCCUUUUGUUGUUAUUUUCUUUUUUUCUUUUUUUGUACAGUUCUAUCCUUGGACUAUUUGCGCAGUUUCUUUUGGUAAGUUAUAUAUUUGUAAUCAUUUGACAUCUCUUCUCUUAUUUUCCCGCUGUCUGUUGCUCGUUUCCAAACCUUAUCUCGCAACCAUCCCCAUGCAUGCGGAUGCAACAGCUUCUUCGUCUUCUUCCAAGGAGCGAUGAAUCUCUCUCACAGAAAGAGGGAGAAAGAGAGGCAGAGAGCACGAGUGGAGAGAAUUACACGGCUGUGCUGAGAUGUUGGCAGCUCAUUUCUGAAUUUUUAUAAGGCUCAUUUUAAAUAUCCGGAUUAUGCGGAUUUGUUAAUGCGUGUAAGAGGCUCAUUUUAUACACACUUAUUCAAAUAGCCACCACAAUAGGCCGUGUUCAGUUGUACGCCUGCAGUGAUACCACAUUAUUGAAGUUGUCCUAUUCCAGUUUGAGUUCUCCUAAUGUGUGAAUGGGCCAUUAUCGCGCUCGGGUCAGGUAGUCCAUUGUACAUUAGAGAUAGAUUGAAAAAACAUGCACUGAGGAUGUGGUAUUUAUGGAGUAAAUAAGCUACAAGGAGAAUCAUU